CCUACGGGGGGCUUCAGUGGGGAAUAUUGGACAAUGGGCGAAAGCCUGAUCCAGCAAUGCCGCGUGAGUGAUGAAGGCCUUAGGGUUGUAAAGCUCUUUUACCAGGGAUGAUAAUGACAGUACCUGGAGAAUAAGCUCCGGCGAACUCCGUGCCAGCAGCCGCGGUAAUACGGAGGGAGCGAGCGUUGUUCGGAAUUACUGGGCGUAAAGCGCACGUAGGCGGUUUUUCAAGUCCGGGGUGAAAGCCCGGUGCUCACCUCCGGAAUUGCCCUUGAAACUGGAUGACUAGAAUCUUGGAGAGGUCAGUGGAAUUCCGAGUGUAGAGGUGAAAUUCGUAGAUAUUCGGAAGAACACCAGUGGCGAAGGCGACUGACUGGACAAGUAUUGACGCUGAGGUGCGAAAGCGUGGGGCGCAAACAGGAUUAGAUACCCUAGUAGUC
Molecule: ribosomal RNA, 440 nt
Filed under: uncultured bacterium
Lineage: Bacteria
Description: partial 16S ribosomal RNA
Rfam family: Bacterial small subunit ribosomal RNA
Source: RNAcentral